RNAcentral lists this non-coding RNA (31 nucleotides) under Rattus norvegicus (Norway rat). The record is from RNAcentral. Lineage: Eukaryota; Metazoa; Chordata; Mammalia; Rodentia; Muridae.
UUCCAGUCUGUAAUCAUGAUGCCCACUCAGU